This 484-nucleotide ribosomal RNA is filed under the name uncultured bacterium. Its description in RNAcentral is "partial 16S ribosomal RNA". It matches the Rfam family "Bacterial small subunit ribosomal RNA", at positions 30 to 507 of the family's 1533-position model. The record is from RNAcentral.
AUUGAACGCUGGCGGCAUGCUUUACACAUGCAAGUCGAACGGUAACAGGGUGCUUGCACCGCUGCCGAGUGGCGAACGGGUGAGUAAUGCAUCGGAAUGUACCGUGUAAUGGGGGAUAGCUCGGCGAAAGCCGGAUUAAUACCGCAUACGCCCUGAGGGGGAAAGUGGGGGACCGAAAGGCCUCACGUUAUACGAGCAGCCGAUGUCUGAUUAGCUAGUUGGUGAGGUAAAGGCUCACCAAGGCGUCGAUCAGUAGCGGGUCUGAGAGGAUGAUCCGCCACACUGGGACUGAGACACGGCCCAGACUCCUACGGGAGGCAGCAGUGGGGAAUUUUGGACAAUGGGCGCAAGCCUGAUCCAGCCAUGCCGCGUGUCUGAAGAAGGCCUUCGGGUUGUAAAGGACUUUUGUCCGGGAGCAAAUCCUAGUGGUUAAUACCUACUGGGGCUGAGAGUACCGGAAGAAUAAGCACCGGCUAACUACGUG